This 108-nucleotide small nuclear RNA is filed under the name Neogale vison (American mink). Lineage: Eukaryota; Metazoa; Chordata; Mammalia; Carnivora; Mustelidae. The record is from RNAcentral.
GUCCUCGCUUCAGCAGCACCUAUACUAAAAUUGGAACAAUACAGAGAAGGUUAGCAUGGCCCCUGCACAAGGAUGACUCGGAAAAAAAAAAAAAAGGUCUUCAAGUUU